Molecule: long non-coding RNA, 1337 nt
Organism: Aedes aegypti (yellow fever mosquito)
Lineage: Eukaryota; Metazoa; Arthropoda; Insecta; Diptera; Culicidae
Exons: 2
Source: RefSeq, a predicted model, not a curated record
AAUAAAAGCUUCAGCUCAGAUUUAACACGUUAAAACGCAAACUUAAAAAAAAAGAAACAGAAGAGAAAGGUUGCUCCGCGCAUCGCGUAGCGAAAACCCCUGCCAAACCUCCCUUCGCACGAGAAACUAAAGCUGCUGCACACGACAACCAUGCUAUUCAGACCAAUAUCGUCGUCUCUUCUUCGAACGACGACUACGCAGACAAGCUUCGGGAGCAGCGAGCCAAGCCGUUGAGAGAAGCAAGGCUUGUCGUCCACAAUCGGCAGCACUCACGCCGUUUUCCGUAACCGCAGAGCCGUCGGAGUGGAGAGACAAGUCGUGGUACUGAGAAAGAUCAGUUCGGGCUAGUGCGUGAAAUCGGUCGGUCGCACGCAGCACGUUAUUCCGUGGUCGCCGAAUCGAGAGGAUUCCCUGAACAUUGGUGAUUAGAAUUUGGAAGAAUCCGCCGGUGUGGACGUUUAAUUAGUACACGUAUCCAAAAAUAAGAAAACCUCCUCUCUAUCGGGGAGCACCUUGCUGCGAGAUACAUCGCGCGGUUGGCCGGAUUGGAUUCCAUUGCGAGGCAAUCACGUGGAUAACAGGUGAGCUCAAAUUUUCUGGCGGCUAUAGAAAUCGACUGAGCGGGCUAUCAUCAAAGCUAACUUCGGCCAUUUUGUUAACCAUAUAGUUGGAGAGCAAGCCCGAUUGACGCACGUUGGGAUAGCUGUCCACGUUCACCCAGAACAACCAGGGUGCAACAAUAGCGACUUGGUCGCUGACCACACUCUGUGCGGGAAGGAGAGAUACUUCACCAGGAGGAUAAGCGAAAUCACACGUCGUAGAUUAGGGAGCCACGAGGCAAGUCAGGACGAUACAGCGGAAGAACGAAAGCCCCUCAAAAGGGUAAGAGAGAUAGUAACUAUAUGACUGCAGGCAGAAUUCUCAUGUCCAAUGCCUGCAGGGCUUUUUUUUCCCCUUAUAUUGUCUCGUUUCUGCUUAGAGCAAAGGCGUCUAGAAGGACGAGUGAGAUUCGCACUGAGGACAUACGAGUGGCCGAUCGACCGCAAGGAAAGCGUGGCGCUGAAGGUUUGGUGCAUGGACAACUGGGUGACGGUCCCGAUGGCCGCAAGAAUGGGAGCGUUCGUGCGAAGCCGCAAUGUAGCGCAUGUUCAUGCCUAAGGACGUCGCUCAACCUAAAGGAAGCAGCGGGUAGUGACGCAGCGUGGCGGCAACCGUGAGUUAAGGCAAUAUCCAUGUUAGAUAUAAGAGCUUGGUAGCUUGCACUACCCUAGGAGAGAUAGGGCCUGAGCAUAGGCAGAUUUUGCCCCAAAGAGGGAAAUACAAGAUGUUAAACUGAG